GAUAAUUAAAUAUUUAUUACCCAUAUAAUCUCGAUAAUAAGGUUCGAGAGUUUCUACUAGAAGACCGUAAAUUUUCAGGCUAUGGGUAAGUCCAGAUUUUUA
This 102-nucleotide non-coding RNA is filed under the name Clostridium sp. RNAcentral's name for it is "Guanine sequence". It matches the Rfam family "Purine riboswitch aptamer". From Rfam's summary of the family: Riboswitches are metabolite binding domains within certain messenger RNAs that serve as precision sensors for their corresponding targets. Allosteric rearrangement of mRNA structure is mediated by ligand binding, and this results in modulation of gene expression. Lineage: Bacteria; Bacillati; Bacillota; Clostridia; Eubacteriales; Clostridiaceae. The record is from RNAcentral. RNAcentral also lists the same sequence under 1 other name.